RNAcentral lists this long non-coding RNA (3083 nucleotides) under Ficedula albicollis (Collared flycatcher). Its description in RNAcentral is "lncRNA (ENSFALG00000025917.1)". The record is from RNAcentral. Lineage: Eukaryota; Metazoa; Chordata; Aves; Passeriformes; Muscicapidae.
AUGGCACUGAUAGGAUGGCAUUGCUGGGAUGGCACCAGGGGGAUGGCACUGCUGGGAUGGCAUUGCUGGGAUGGCACUGGUGGGAUGGCACUGAUAGGAUGGCAUUGCUGGGAUGGCACCAGGGGGAUGGCACUGCUGGGAUGGCAUUGCUGGGAUGGCACUGGUGGGAUGGCACUGAUAGGAUGGCAUUGCUGGGAUGGCACCAGGGGGAUGGCACUGCUGGGAUGGCAUUGCUGGGAUGGCACUGGUGGGAUGGCACUGAUAGGAUGGCAUUGCUGGGAUGGCACCAGGGGGAUGGCACUGCUGGGAUGGCAUUGCUGGGAUGGCACUGGUGGGAUGGCACUGAUAGGAUGGCAUUGCUGGGAUGGCACCAGGGGGAUGGCACUGCUGGGAUGGCAUUGCUGGGAUGGCACUGGUGGGAUGGCACUGAUAGGAUGGCAUUGCUGGGAUGGCACCAGGGGGAUGGCACUGCUGGGAUGGCAUUGCUGGGAUGGCACCUCCGGACACGGACCCGCCUGCGGCGAGCCGGGCGCCGGCGCCGCCGCCUCCUGCUCCUCCUGCUCCUGCAGCUCCACCGCUCCCGCUUGCCACCUCCACCCCAUCUAUUACCAUCACACCGCCUCUUAUUUCCUCCAGAUGGACUCCACCCCCGACCUGCCCCCUCCCGAUGUCACCUCUGGAGCUGCCUGUCGCGCGGGGAGCUUUGGAGGAUCCAGCAAUAAGGUCAGAGCGGCUCCGGGCUGGGGGGAGAGGGGCUGGGGGGGCCCCCCCCCCCCCCCCCCCCCCCCCCCCCCCCCCCGGGGGGGCUGGGGGGGCACAGAGCUUUGUGCUGCCAGGGCCUGCUCAGGGGGUCACUGCUGGGGCUGGGACAGCAGCACCACGUCCCAAAUCCCCAAACCCCCACGGGCAGCCCUGCUCCCAGCGGGGAGGGAGAGCCAGGAACGCAGGGAAAUGAGGAACUCACAGCUCCUGCAGGGUGCAGGGGAGGAAGCUGCUGCCGGCUCUGUGUGCAGGCUGUGCCAAGCUCAGCCCCUCAGCAGAUUGGGGAAUUUGCCAGAAGAAAAGCCCUGGUGCCCCGUGCACAGAGCCCAGCAGCCAGGGCCAGGCACAGAGGGAGGCAGCAGGGCUCUCUGCUGCUGGGGCACAGCCAGGGCGGCUCCUGAGCACCCAGGCACAUCCCUCACGGGCUGCAGGGCUGGGGAAACACAGCAGUUUGGUCUCCAUCCUCCUCCUGCUCCUCCUCCACUCCCCGGCGUUCUGUACUCCAGCCUUUCCUUAUUCCAUGCUUUGCUCUCUGCCUCUUGUGUUUGCCAUCCCCAUCUCCCCUCCUCCCUGCCGGGUGGAUCCUCUGGGUGGGAUGAGGCAGGAGGAAGCAGAUCCAUGGUGCCUGAGGCAGGUGGGUGCUGGCAGGAGCUCUGUGCAGCUGCUGGGAGGGCCUGGAUCCGUGGAGAAGAGCUGCUGGGUGCAGGAAGGCUCCCAGGCGUUUCCCUGUGCAGGAGGGAUGAGCUGGCAGGGGCUCCUGCUGCUCUGCAGAAACUUCUCUGCUCCCUCCCUGGGGUCCCAUCCCGUGUCCUGGGACAGCUUUUCCUCUUGAAAAGGUGCAGGAGCAGUUCAGGAGCAUAACCCUGGUGGGAAUGAGUGGGAUACAGGCUGAGCCUCCCCCAGGCGAUGGCAGCACCCUGGGAAUGCCCUUCCCUCCCUCUUGUCCUGCCAUGGGCUCAGCAGUGGCCAGUCCUGGUGCUGUGCCUGUCCCAGCCAGUGUGACCCUGGGAGUCCUGUCCCUGCUGUUGUGCACUUGUGGGAGCCACCAGGAAAAAUCUCACCUGGGGCUGCAGAAAAUCCCAGGAGUUCCUGGCCAUUGGUGUUCAGCUCCCAAAAGCAGCCUGUGGGUGCCACAGGAGGAAUGCAGGAGGUGCCUGUGCCAGGUGUCCUGGUCUGUGGGGUGUCCCCUGGACUGUCCCUGCCGUGGUGGCAGUGUCCUGGGUGCCAGGGUGUGCCCAGAGCCUGGCACAGCAGGGUGGGCAUGCUGCUGUCACCAGCUCUUCCCUGUGUCCCCCAGGAAUUACAGCUGGAGGGGUUGUGUAUGAGCAGAGUUGGGAUAUUGGGAAUUGGGUGCUCUUGGGCAUCAGCUCCUGCAGCUCCCUGGAUGAGCCCAGAGGGAGGAACUGGGGCUCCAGUGAGGUGGAACCCAUGUGGUGAAUCCAGUCCAGGGCCCAGGAUCCCCAAAACAGCCACAGCAGGAGGGGACAGCACCCCCAGCCCCUGUGCUGCAGGGAGAGUCACCAGGGAUCCCCAAAACCAGCCAGGAAUAGGGACAGCACCCCCAGCCCCUGUGCUGCAGGGAGAGUCACCAGGGAUCCCCAAAACCAGCCAGGAAUAGGGACAGCACCCCCAGCCCCUGUGCUGCAGGGAGGGCAGUCCCAGGAGGUGACAGUGGCCCUGUCCUGCCCUGUCCCACCUCCCAGCAGGACCAGCUGUCCUGGGAUCAGGUUCCCAGGAAGAAAUCCCUGCUGGAGCAGAGCUUGGCUCCCACCUGCUGCUGUCAUGUGCUGCUCACGCUGCCAGGGUGGCUCUGCUCUGCUGCAUGGACACCUGCAGGGCCUGCAGCAGAGCCCACAGGGAGCACUCGCCCUCCUCACACAGCCUUCAAGUCUCCUCAGUGGAAGGAAUCCCAUUUUUCCUGUGUUUGCUGCUCUCUGGCUGUUUUAAAGGAUUUCUGUCACCCUCACUUGGAUGGCUCCUGUGGGGCUGUGGCAGCCAGAAGGGUUGGGUUGGAUUUCCUGGGGGAGAAGAUGGAGUUGGGACACUGAUGGUGAAGGGAUGGGGUGUUGCUGUGCCCCAUGCCCAGCCAGGGCACGCUGGGUCCCCCUGGGCCCUCCCAGCUCCUCCAUGAGCGGUCUGGAGUUGGCCCUGCAUCCCUGCCAGGAUCCCACCCUGAGGGAGCCUGCCCCUGAUCCUGGCUCUGAGCAGCACCAUCCCCUGUGUCCUGGUGUGAGGGACAGGUGUCUGCCAAUCCCCCCCCCCCCCCCCCCCCCCCCCCCCCCCCCCCCCCCCCCCCCCCCCCCCCCCCCCCCCCCCCCCCC